Molecule: ribosomal RNA, 436 nt
Filed under: Triticum aestivum (bread wheat)
Lineage: Eukaryota; Viridiplantae; Streptophyta; Magnoliopsida; Poales; Poaceae
Description: partial small subunit ribosomal RNA
Source: RNAcentral
UUUCACGAUCAAUUCCCAGUGCCACCAGUUAGAUUCACCUCAUGACUGCCUCCUCAUCGUCCUCUGCCGCCGGCGACGUACUGCCUCUGAUGCCUUGUCCCGAUUGGGGCGGCAAGGUUAUAAGCUGGAUUUCCAGCGGCGGAGCUAGCCUGGGCUCCCUGUUCUACAGGUGCGUCAGGAAAGAUGCUGGCCUGUGUGGAUUCAGAUCCACCGAGGUGUACACCGCCGUGUUCAUGAAUCUUCUAGCUGGCGGCCGAUGUCCCGUGUCCUGUGUAUUCAUGUUGACCCCACAGAUGGAUAUCUAUUAGUAUGUGUACUCAUUAGUGUCCUGGUUAGUUAUCCAUCAUGUAGUAGUAUUAGAAAAGCAAGUAAUGGAUGGUCUGUAUUUUGGUAUUUCCCCACUGUCCCUUUUGUGGCAACCAUGGUUAUGUGUCAU